GUGGAUCCCUUGGCUUGUGGGUCGAUGAAAAUCGCCGCAAAGUGCGAGAAGUCAUGUGAACUGCAGGAUCAUGAACAUCGACAGAUUGAACGCAAAUGGCGGCCCUCGUCCCGUACUUGGGCCACACCUGGCAGAGGGUCGG
Molecule: ribosomal RNA, 142 nt
Filed under: Thrips formosanus
Lineage: Eukaryota; Metazoa; Arthropoda; Insecta; Thysanoptera; Thripidae
Description: partial 5.8S ribosomal RNA
Rfam family: 5.8S ribosomal RNA
About the family: 5.8S ribosomal RNA (5.8S rRNA) is a component of the large subunit of the eukaryotic ribosome. It is transcribed by RNA polymerase I as part of the 45S precursor that also contains 18S and 28S rRNA.
Source: RNAcentral